Molecule: long non-coding RNA, 630 nt
Organism: Phyllostomus discolor (pale spear-nosed bat)
Lineage: Eukaryota; Metazoa; Chordata; Mammalia; Chiroptera; Phyllostomidae
Exons: 3
Source: RefSeq, a predicted model, not a curated record
AUCAAACAGAAAAGAUUGUCAUGGAGAACAGAAAUAAAAAACUAGAGGUAUUAACAGAAACUGUUGUGUAUGAGACCAUAUUUGAUGGAGAAGCUAUUGAUCCAGUCUCUGGGAAUAUGUAUGAGUAUAACAGCAGAACAGGUGCAAGAAAGUGGAAGAAGACCCCACCCCUGGCACCAGGAGUUGUCCUUGGUAAACAUGUACUCCCUCCCAGAGUCCCACCUUUCUGAGGAGUCUACAUCCUUACAAAUUCCCAUGAAGGAAUAGCAUUUUCUGGUAUUUUUGAAUGAUUGCUUUUGUGUGUGUCUAUGUUACUCUUGUGGCAAUUUUUUUCUUGGCUACCUAAAUGAAAUUGUAUAUGUGAGGGCUAGCUGCUUUGUUUAUAGCUUUCUGUAAUCUUCCAGUUCAGGGUGUGUGGGUGAGGGCAGCAGGACUGAAAUUCAGUCUCUAAAUAUGCUUUGCUAAAAACUGGAGACUAAAUUGAUAUAUGUUCACCGUCUGACUUUGUGCAGUGGAAGGUGUGUUUAUUAUGACUGGAGACUUUGUUUUGCUCACUCCUAGAGCCCCAGCACAUGCUCGGCACAGAGUGGGGACUCCAUACAUAUUUGAUGAAUAAAUGAAUUUUAAUAU